Molecule: ribosomal RNA, 776 nt
Filed under: Enterobacter cloacae subsp. cloacae
Lineage: Bacteria; Pseudomonadati; Pseudomonadota; Gammaproteobacteria; Enterobacterales; Enterobacteriaceae
Description: bacterial SSU rRNA
Rfam family: Bacterial small subunit ribosomal RNA
Source: RNAcentral
AGCAAACAGGAUUAGAUACCCUGGUCGUCCACGCCGUAAACGAUGUCGACUUGGAGGUUGUGCCCUUGAGGCGUGGCUUCCGGAGCUAACGCGUUAAGUCGACCGCCUGGGGAGUACGGCCGCAAGGUUAAAACUCAAAUGAAUUGACGGGGGCCCGCACAAGCGGUGGAGCAUGUGGUUUAAUUCGAUGCAACGCGAAGAACCUUACCUACUCUUGACAUCCAGAGAACUUUCCAGAGAUGGAUUGGUGCCUUCGGGAACUCUGAGACAGGUGCUGCAUGGCUGUCGUCAGCUCGUGUUGUGAAAUGUUGGGUUAAGUCCCGCAACGAGCGCAACCCUUAUCCUUUGUUGCCAGCGGUCCGGCCGGGAACUCAAAGGAGACUGCCAGUGAUAAACUGGAGGAAGGUGGGGAUGACGUCAAGUCAUCAUGGCCCUUACGAGUAGGGCUACACACGUGCUACAAUGGCGCAUACAAAGAGAAGCGACCUCGCGAGAGCAAGCGGACCUCAUAAAGUGCGUCGUAGUCCGGAUUGGAGUCUGCAACUCGACUCCAUGAAGUCGGAAUCGCUAGUAAUCGUGGAUCAGAAUGCCACGGUGAAUACGUUCCCGGGCCUUGUACACACCGCCCGUCACACCAUGGGAGUGGGUUGCAAAAGAAGUAGGUAGCUUAACCUUCGGGAGGGCGCUUACCACUUUGUGAUUCAUGACUGGGGUGAAGUCGUAACAAGGUAACCGUAGGGGAACCUGCGGUUGGAUCACCUCCUUACCUUAAAGAA